RNAcentral lists this ribosomal RNA (959 nucleotides) under Pyrenochaeta sp. 1 TKPB-2018. RNAcentral's name for it is "partial 28S ribosomal RNA". It matches the Rfam family "Eukaryotic large subunit ribosomal RNA", at positions 1 to 978 of the family's 3401-position model. Lineage: Eukaryota; Fungi; Ascomycota; Dothideomycetes; Pleosporales; Cucurbitariaceae. The record is from RNAcentral.
UGACCUCGGAUCAGGUAGGGAUACCCGCUGAACUUAAGCAUAUCAAUAAGCGGAGGAAAAGAAACCAACAGGGAUUGCCCUAGUAACGGCGAGUGAAGCGGCAACAGCUCAAAUUUGAAAUCUGGCUCUUUCAGGGUCCGAGUUGUAAUUUGCAGAGGGCGCUUUGGCGUUGGCAGCGGUUCAAGUUCCUUGGAACAGGACGUCACAGAGGGUGAGAAUCCCGUACGUGGUCGCUAACCUUCGCCGUGUAAAGCCCCUUCGACGAGUCGAGUUGUUUGGGAAUGCAGCUCUAAAUGGGAGGUAAAUUUCUUCUAAAGCUAAAUACUGGCCAGAGACCGAUAGCGCACAAGUAGAGUGAUCGAAAGAUGAAAAGCACUUUGGAAAGAGAGUCAAACAGCACGUGAAAUUGUUGAAAGGGAAGCGCUUGCAGCCAGACUUGCCUGUAGUUGCUCAUCCGGGCUUUUGCCCGGUGCACUCUUCUGCGGGCAGGCCAGCAUCAGUUUGGACGGUUGGAUAAAGGUCUCUGUCAUGUACCUCUCUUCGGGGAGGCCUUAUAGGGGAGACGACAUGCAACCAGUCUGGACUGAGGUCCGCGCAUUUGCUAGGAUGCUGGCGUAAUGGCUGUAAGCGGCCCGUCUUGAAACACGGACCAAGGAGUCUAACAUCUAUGCGAGUGUUUGGGUGUCAAGCCCGAACGCGUAAUGAAAGUGAACGGAGGUGGGACCCCAUUAGGGUGCACCAUCGACCGAUCCUGAUGUCUUCGGAUGGAUUUGAGUAAGAGCAUAGCUGUUGGGACCCGAAAGAUGGUGAACUAUGCUUGAAUAGGGUGAAGCCAGAGGAAACUCUGGUGGAGGCUCGCAGCGGUUCUGACGUGCAAAUCGAUCGUCAAAUUUGGGCAUAGGGGCGAAAGACUAAUCGAACUAUCUAGUAGCUGGUUCCUGCCGAAGUUUCCCUCAGGA